This 385-nucleotide ribosomal RNA is filed under the name uncultured bacterium. Its description in RNAcentral is "bacterial SSU rRNA". It matches the Rfam family "Bacterial small subunit ribosomal RNA", at positions 32 to 398 of the family's 1533-position model. The record is from RNAcentral.
AAUCAACGCUGGCGGCGUGCCUAACACAUGCAAGUCGAACGCGAAAGCCCCUUCGGGGGCAAGUAGAGUGGCGUCCGGGUGAGUAACACGUGGGUAAUCUACCUCCGGGUGGGGAAUAACUCGCCGAAAGGCGGGCUAAUACCGCAUAAUGCAGCGGCACCGAAUGGUGAUUAGUUGUUAAAGCGGGGGACCUUAGGGCCUCGCGUCUGGAGAGGAGCCUGCGGCAGAUUAGCUUGUUGGAGGGUAAUGGCCUACCAAGGCUGCGAUCUGUAGCUGGUCUGAGAGGACGGCCAGCCACACUGGCACUGACACACGGGCCAGACUCCUACGGGAGGCAGCAGUGGGGAAUCUUGCGCAAUGGGCGAAAGCCUGACGCAGCGACGCC